UACGUAGGGUGCGAGCGUUAAUCGGAAUUACUGGGCGUAAAGCGUGCGCAGGCGGUUCUCCAAGUCCGUUGUGAAAGCCCCGGGCUUAACCUGGGAAUGGCAUUUGGGACUGCAAGGCUGGAGUACGGCAGAGGGAGGUGGAAUUCCAGGUGUAGCAGUGAAAUGCGUAGAGAUCUGGAGGAACACCGAUGGCGAAGGCAGCCUCCUGGGCUAGUACUGACGCUCAUGCACGAAAGCGUGGGGAGCAAACAGG
RNAcentral lists this ribosomal RNA (253 nucleotides) under uncultured bacterium. RNAcentral's name for it is "partial 16S ribosomal RNA". It matches the Rfam family "Bacterial small subunit ribosomal RNA", at positions 524 to 776 of the family's 1533-position model. The record is from RNAcentral.